AAGUAGGGGAUCGUAAGACCUUGCGCUUUUGGAGCGGCCGAUGUCUGAUUAGCUAGUUGGUGGGGUAAUGGCCUACCAAGGCUUCGAUCAGUAGCUGGUCUGAGAGGACGGCCAGCCACACUGGGACUGAGACACGGCCCAGACUCCUACGGGAGGCAGCAGUGGGGAAUUUUGGACAAUGGGCGAAAGCCUGAUCCAGCAAUGCCGCGUGAGUGAAGAAGGCCUUCGGGUUGUAAAGCUCUUUCAGUCGAGAAGAAAAGGUUGUGACUAAUAAUCACAACUUAUGACGGUACCGACAGAAGAAGCACCGGCUAACUACGUGCCAGCAGCCGCGGUAAUACGUAGGGUGCGAGCGUUAAUCGGAAUUACUGGGCGUAAAGGGUGCGCAGGCGGCUUUGUAAGUCAGAUGUGAAAUCCCCGGGCUUAACCUGGGAAUUGCGUUUGAAACUACAAAGCUAGAGU
Molecule: ribosomal RNA, 462 nt
Filed under: uncultured ammonia-oxidizing beta proteobacterium
Lineage: Bacteria; Pseudomonadati; Pseudomonadota; Betaproteobacteria
Description: bacterial SSU rRNA
Rfam family: Bacterial small subunit ribosomal RNA
Source: RNAcentral